AGGACGAACGCUGGCGGCGUGCUUAACACAUGCAAGUCGAGCGGAAAGGCCCUUCGGGGUACUCGAGCGGCGAACGGGUGAGUAACACGUGAGUAAUCUGCCCUUAGCUCUGGGAUAGCUCCGGGAAAACCGGGAUUAAUACCAGAUAUGACCACUUUAGACAUCUUUUGUGGUGGAAAGAAUUUCGGCUGGGGAUGAACUCGCGGCCUAUCAGCUUGUUGGUGAGGUAAUGGCUCACCAAAGGCGACGACGGGUA
RNAcentral lists this ribosomal RNA (256 nucleotides) under uncultured bacterium. RNAcentral's name for it is "partial small subunit ribosomal RNA". It matches the Rfam family "Bacterial small subunit ribosomal RNA", at positions 26 to 285 of the family's 1533-position model. The record is from RNAcentral.